GUGUCAGCCGCCGCGGUAAUACGAAGGUGGCAAGCGUUACUCGGAAUUACUAGGCGUAAAGGGCAGGUAGGUGGUUUGGUAAGUCUGUUGUGAAAGCUCCUUGCUUAACGGGGAGAGGCCAACAGAUACUGCCAGGCUUGAGUAUAGGAGAGGGUACUGGAAUUCCCGGUGUAGCGGUGAAAUGCGCAGAGAUCGGGAGGAACACCAAUGGCGAAAGCAGGUACCUGGACUAUUACUGACACUCAGCUGCGAAAGCUAGGGGAGCAAACAGGAUUAGAUACCCUCGUAGUCC
This 292-nucleotide ribosomal RNA is filed under the name uncultured bacterium. RNAcentral describes it as "partial 16S ribosomal RNA". It matches the Rfam family "Bacterial small subunit ribosomal RNA", at positions 505 to 796 of the family's 1533-position model. The record is from RNAcentral.